CAGUAGCCGCGGUAAUACGAGGGGUGCAAGCGUUAUUCGGAUUGAUUGGGUGUAAAGGGUGUGCAGACGGCUUAUUAAGUCACUUGUUAAAUUCUUCGGCCUAACUGAAGGUCUGCAAGUGGUACUGGUGAGCUAGAGGGUGGAAGAGAGAAGUGGAAUUCUCGGAGUAGCGGUAAAAUGCGUAGAUCUCGAGAGGAACACCAAUGGCGAAGGCAGCUUCUUGGUCCAUUCCUGACGUUCAUACACGAAAGCGUGGGGAGCAAACAGGAUUAGAUACCCCCGUAGUCCCUGUCUCUUAUAC
RNAcentral lists this ribosomal RNA (301 nucleotides) under uncultured bacterium. Its description in RNAcentral is "partial 16S ribosomal RNA". It matches the Rfam family "Bacterial small subunit ribosomal RNA", at positions 509 to 807 of the family's 1533-position model. The record is from RNAcentral.